RNAcentral lists this ribosomal RNA (205 nucleotides) under uncultured bacterium. Its description in RNAcentral is "partial 16S ribosomal RNA". It matches the Rfam family "Bacterial small subunit ribosomal RNA", at positions 32 to 229 of the family's 1533-position model. The record is from RNAcentral.
AAUCAACGCUGGCGGCGUGCCUCAGACAUGCAAGUCGAACGAUUAAACUUUCCUUCGGGAAAGAUAUAAAGUGGCGCACGGGUGAGUAACACGUAAGUAAUCUACCUUUGAGUGGGGAAUAACGUUCGGAAACGGACGCUAAUACCGCAUAAUGCAGCGGCAUCGCAAGAUGACAGUUGUUAAAGAUUUAUCGCUUGAAGGAGGA